RNAcentral lists this long non-coding RNA (960 nucleotides) under Mustela putorius furo (domestic ferret). RNAcentral's name for it is "lncRNA (ENSMPUG00000023813.1)". The record is from RNAcentral. Lineage: Eukaryota; Metazoa; Chordata; Mammalia; Carnivora; Mustelidae.
UUGCCCCCGCGGCAACCUCACAAAGUUGACCCCACAACUUCAUCUUUUUUCAGGAGCUGAGGACGAUGCCACCUCAAAUAGAAGCAUCCACAGCAGCCUCAAGGCAGGUCUCUGACCCUCAAGUGCAGUGGAAAUACGAAUUACCAGGCGGAAGGGAAGAUCCAAGAAAGGAUCCGACGCAAAAGGCUGACUGAUGAGUCUCAGGAUACAAAUAAUUCAAUCAAAGGAGUGGACCAGAAGCAGAAACCAGGGGCCGCCGGAGAGCGGAAGAUGCGGAGACUGUGGUUUCAGAGGGUGACGCCGAGGAGUGGGUGUCCACGGGAAGCUCGUGACCCUCCCCGAAGGGGUCGGUGCCUGCCAGCCGGCAUCAGUAUGGACAUUGUGACGAUCGCCCACAGUGAGCGCCAUUUUCCUGCCCUUCCCUUUCUCUGACGUAGACUUCACCUUAUUUCCUUCCAGUCUCCCUGUUUCUCUUACGGAUCGAGACACAGCUACUUUUGACCGGCUUGCGUAGUGUUUUUUUUUUUUCCCAGCCCACCCACCUGCCUUUCACCCCCUCAACAGACCGAUCUCAGCAUCUUCUUUUUCCCUCUUUAGACCUUGUGUGUGGACCUCAUCUACGAAAUAGUAUCGCCUUAUCCUCAGAUUCUCUUCCAGCUCUAAUAUUCUCUAUACCGUGCCAAGUUCCAUGUGUCUUCCCAUGCCCUUACGACCGUCUUCGAGGACUUAUACAAACGCCCUUCUGGUCACUUCCCCUGGUCUUGUAAAAGCCUGCCUGUUCCCAUCCAGUGAUUUUCGGUGUGCAUCUGAUAUUUCCAGCCACAUACACUCAGAAGGUGUUGGGACAUUUCCCUAACUUAGUUUGACCUUGGACUCUCUGCUCCUCAUCAGUAUGGGACUACCUUGUCCAAUGCCAUGGAAAACCCAUUUAUUUGAUUUGUGUGGAUAGUGUAUUAUUUG